Molecule: unclassified non-coding RNA, 2884 nt
Filed under: Hevea brasiliensis (rubber tree)
Lineage: Eukaryota; Viridiplantae; Streptophyta; Magnoliopsida; Malpighiales; Euphorbiaceae
Source: RNAcentral
AAGAGGAGGAAGAAGAAGAAGAAGGAAACAGAAGCAUUUCAAAAUCUCGGAAAAAAUUAGCUGGGGAGCAUAAAGAUCAGUUGCAAAAACUUAAAGAAAAGGACCCUGAAUUCUAUCAAUUCUUACAAGAGCAUGAUGAGGAGCUUCUACAAUUUGAUGAUGAGGAUAUUGAGGAAGAUGUUGAUAAUGAUGCAGAGGAGGCGAAAAUGCAAGUGGAUGAGGAAAUUAGCGGUCAUGAUAUUGCUGAAAAGGAAGAGAAACCAUCUAAAAAUGUUAUUACUAGUGCAAUGGUUGACUCUUGGUGUAAUUCAGUUCGAGAAGACGGAAAAAUAGGUGCUCUUCGUUCUCUUAUGAAAGCUUUUAGAAUUGCAUGCCACUAUGGUGAUGAUGGUGCGGAUGACUCUUCAAUUAAGUUUACUAUCAUGUCCAGCAGUGUCUUUAAUAAGAUAAUGUCAUUUGUACUCGGUGAAAUGGAUGGAAUUCUUCGUAAAUUGUUGGGGCUACCUGCUUCUGGUGGUAAGAAAGAAACUAUAAAUGAUUUGAUGAUCACAAGAAAAUGGAAGAACUAUAACCACCUGGUGAAGUCGUAUUUGGGAAAUGCUCUACAUGUUUUAAACCAAAUGACUGACACAGACAUGAUAUCUUUUACAUUACGGCGUCUCAAAUAUUCAGCUGUACUCUUGGCUGCUUUUCCAAAUCUAUUACGGAAGUAUACCAAGGUUGUCCUUCACUUUUGGGGUACAGGAGGAGGUGCACUCCCUGUUGUCUGUUUUCUUUUUCUGAGAGAUUUAUGUAUUCGACUUGGAUCUGACUGUAUAGAUGAAUGCUUCAAAGGCAUAUACAAAGCUUAUGUUUUGAAUUGUCAGUUCAUAAAUGCUGCUAAGCUACAGCAUAUACAGUUUCUUGGGAAUUGUGUCAUAGAACUUCUUGGGGUGGAUCUUCCAACUGCUUAUCAACAUGCCUUUGUUUUCAUCAGACAAUUGGCGAUGAUUUUGCGGGAUGCUAUUACUAUGAAAACUAAGGAAUCAUUUCGCAAGGUUUAUGAAUGGAAGUUCAUAAAUUGCCUUGAGCUUUGGACUGGAGCUAUCUGUGCCUAUAGUUCAGAAGCUGAUUUUAGGCCUCUUGCUUAUCCAUUGACCCAAAUAAUUUCCGGAGUUGCUCGCCUAGUUCCAACUGCUCGAUAUUUCCCCCUUAGAUUGAGGUGUGUUAGAAUGCUCAAUCGGAUUGCUGCUUCUGCUGGUACUUUCAUACCUGUUUCUACACUGCUUUUGGACAUGCUGGAGAUGAAAGAAUUGAAUAGGCGCCCUACUGGAGGUGUUGGGAAAGCUAUUGAUUUGCGUACCAUGCUGAAGGUGAGCAAACCUACCCUAAAGACACGAGCAUAUCAGGAAGCAUGCGUAUUUUCUGUGAUAGAAGAGCUUGCUGAACAUUUAGCUCAAUGGAGCUAUUCUGUUGCUUUCUUUGAAUUGUCUUUUGUUCCAGCUGUGCGGUUACGUAAUUUUUACAAAAGUACCAAAGUUGAAAGGUUCAGAAAAGAAAUACGUGAGCUUAUUCAUCAGGUUGAGGCUAAUUCCAAGUUUACGAAUGAAAAGCGUAUGUCAAUAAAUUUUCUACCAAAUGAUCCAGCAGCUACAGCUUUUCUUGAGGACGAGAAAAAGUCAGGGGCCAGCCCUCUGUCACGGUAUGUUGCAACUCUGCAACAGAGAGCACAACAACGAUAUGAGUCAUUGGAGGAAUCCAGUGUCCUUGUAGGUGAACACUCUUUUGUCUUUGGGAAUAAGGCGUCCGAAAUGAUAGAAGAUGAAGAUGAUGAUGCUGAAAAUGAGAAAGGUGCAGCCAUCUUUAGCUCCUCUUGGUUACCAGGAGGUGAAUCCAGGUACAUUCCCCUCCUCCCUUCUUUCUCUCUUUCUCCCCAUUGUCUUUGCACAUGCAUAGGCACAUGCAUGAUACAUCCAUAAUAAUCUCGACUCUCUCUCUCUCUCUGCUCUCCUUCCAUCUCCCCCUCCCUUUCCACACGAACUCAUGUACACAUUCAUUAGAAUCUAGAGUUUAUUAAUACGGACUUGUACUUUCAAUUCCUUGAGAAUAUUAUUGUGUUUGUCAUUAUGUGAGGGUGACCCUUGAUGCAAUGGUAAGAUUACUCCUUUGUGACUUGGAGGUCAAAAAUUUGAGUUGCAGAUUCUCUUUGCAUAAAGCAGGGAACAAGAAGUGUAUGAUACAUGACCUUGCACCUAUCCUUGCAAAGCUUGGAACGCCCUUGUUCAUGGAUCUAUUUUGUCUUUAGUACCCUUGUGACAACCCAGAUAACUUUACCUGUUUGGUUUAUAGGGUCAAGGCUUCUAAGGAGAAAAAGAAAACGAAGAAGAGAACAGGGAGGCAGCAAGAAGCAGCAACUCUGGAUGAAGAUGUUGUGGAGGACCUGGUACUUAGUUCUGAUGAAGAUGGAUCUCUGAAUGACUCCGUUGCUUCUUCUGAAGAUGAUGAUGAGAAAUUGGCGUCUCCUAAACGGCAGUGUAAGCAGCGGAAACCUUCUAAAAAUUUUCCAAAGAAGAAAUCUCGUCCAAAGAAGUCAAAGAAGAAAAAUUCUGCAUGCCAUACCUCUUCUGAUGGUAAAGGUGAUAAAGCAAAACCAGUGCCUCCUAAACAGCACAGAAAGAAGCCGAAACCUUCUGGAAUCUUGUCAAAGAAGAAUGUACAAUCUCAGACAAAGAAGAGGAAAAGAACUAAUUAAUCGUUUAGCAAAGUUGAAAAGAUUUUGAUCAUUAAUAUUGAGGAUAUGAUUUGUUUUGGCUUAAUAUUAAGCACUAUAAAUUGCCAUAAAAUAUGAAGUUUAAAUUACAUCAUAUUGGUAAUUUUAGAUCCUGAACUUGGGAAUGCAAUGGUA